This 465-nucleotide ribosomal RNA is filed under the name Vreelandella stevensii. RNAcentral's name for it is "partial 16S ribosomal RNA". It matches the Rfam family "Bacterial small subunit ribosomal RNA", at positions 338 to 795 of the family's 1533-position model. The record is from RNAcentral. Lineage: Bacteria; Pseudomonadati; Pseudomonadota; Gammaproteobacteria; Oceanospirillales; Halomonadaceae.
CCUACGGGGGGCUGCAGUGGGGAAUAUUGGACAAUGGGGGGAACCCUGAUCCAGCCAUGCCGCGUGUGUGAAGAAGGCCCUCGGGUUGUAAAGCACUUUCAGUGAGGAAGAACGCCUGGUGGUUAAUACCCAUCAGGAAAGACAUCACUCACAGAAGAAGCACCGGCUAACUCCGUGCCAGCAGCCGCGGUAAUACGGAGGGUGCGAGCGUUAAUCGGAAUUACUGGGCGUAAAGCGCGCGUAGGUGGCUUGAUAAGCCGGUUGUGAAAGCCCCGGGCUCAACCUGGGAACGGCAUCCGGAACUGUCAAGCUAGACUGCAGGAGAGGAAGGUAGAAUUCCCGGUGUAGCGGUGAAAUGCGUAGAGAUCGGGAGGAAUACCAGUGGCGAAGGCGGCCUUCUGGACUGACACUGACACUGAGGUGCGAAAUCGUGGGUAGCAAACAGGAUUAGAUACCCGAGUAGUC